UACGCGUUAAACAUUCCGCCUGGGGACUACGGUCGCAAGAUUAAAACUCAAAGGAAUUGACGGGGACCCGCACAAGCGGUGGAGCAUGUGGUUUAAUUCGAUGCAACGCGAAAAACCUUACCACUCCUUGACAUGGAAAUUAUACCUAUUCGAAGGGAUAGGGUCGGUUCGGCCGGGUUUCACACAGGUGUUGCAUGGCUGUCGUCAGCUCGUGUCGUGAGAUGUUGGGUUAAGUCCCGCAACGAGCGCAACCCUCAUCCUUAGUUACCAUCAGGUAAUGCUGGGGACUUUAAGGAGACUGCCAGUGAUAAACUGGAGGAAGGUGGGGAUGAUGUCAAGUCAUCAUGGCCCUUAUGGAGUGGGCUACACACGUGCUACAAUGGUGGCUUCAAUGGGCUGCAAAGUCGCGAGGCUAAGCCAAUCCCUUAAAAGCCAUCUCAGUUCGGAUUGUACUCUGCAACUCGAGUGCAUGAAGUUGGAAUCGCUAGUAAUCGUGGAUCAGCACGCCACGGUGAAUACGUUCUCGGGUCUUGUACACACUGCCCGUCACGCCAUGGGAAUUGGUUUCACUCGAAGCUAACGACCUAACCGCAAGGAGGGAGUUAUUUAAAGUGGGAUCGGUGACUGGGGUG
This 632-nucleotide ribosomal RNA is filed under the name uncultured bacterium. RNAcentral describes it as "bacterial SSU rRNA". It matches the Rfam family "Bacterial small subunit ribosomal RNA", at positions 854 to 1482 of the family's 1533-position model. The record is from RNAcentral.